This 1653-nucleotide ribosomal RNA is filed under the name Triticum aestivum (bread wheat). Its description in RNAcentral is "partial small subunit ribosomal RNA". The record is from RNAcentral. Lineage: Eukaryota; Viridiplantae; Streptophyta; Magnoliopsida; Poales; Poaceae.
AUGCCCGCCGCGGCAUUCGCCUCCGCGUUCGCGUCUCCUCCUCCUCCGUGGGCCCCACGACCGCCUCCUCGCCACGCCAGCCUCCGCCUGCCCCCGCCAAGGAGCAGCAGCAACAACAGCGGCGGCGGCGGAGGGGACAAGCCCACCACCUCGUGGGUCAGCCCCGACUGGCUGACGUCGCUGUCUCGCUCGGUGCUCGGCCGGGGGAACGACGACUCGGGGAUACCCGUCGCCUCCGCCAAGCUCGACGACGUGCAGGACCUCCUCGGGGGCGCGCUCUUCCUGCCGCUCUUCAAGUGGUUCCGCGAGGAAGGGCCCGUCUACCGCCUCGCCGCGGGGCCGCGCGACUUCGUCAUCGUCAGCGACCCCGCCGUAGCCAAGCACGUCCUCCGCGGGUACGGCACGCGGUACGAGAAGGGGCUCGUCGCCGAGGUCUCCGAGUUCCUCUUUGGCUCUGGGUUCGCCAUCGCCGAGGGAGCGCUCUGGACGGUGAGACGUAGAGCAGUUGUACCAUCUCUACACAAAAGAUUUCUCUCAGUAAUGGUCGAUAAAGUGUUCUGUAAAUGUGCUGAGAGAUUGGUGGAAAAGCUCGAGACUUAUGCUUUGAGUGGUGAACCUGUUAAUAUGGAAGCGAGGUUUUCGCAAAUGACGUUAGAUGUGAUUGGUUUAUCCUUGUUCAACUACAACUUUGAUUCCCUCACAUCAGAUAGUCCUGUUAUUGAUGCUGUUUACACUGCACUCAAAGAAGCAGAGGCUCGUUCUACAGAUCUUUUACCAUACUGGCAGAUCGAUUUGCUGUGCAAGAUUGUCCCUAGACAGAUAAAAGCAGAAAAAGCAGUUAACACAAUAAGGAAUACCGUUGAAGACCUAAUUACAAAAUGCAAGGCAAUUGUAGAUGCUGAAAAUGAACAGAUUGAGGGUGAAGAAUAUGUAAAUGAGGCAGAUCCUAGCAUCCUGCGGUUUUUACUUGCUAGCCGUGAAGAGGUCAGCAGUUUGCAGUUACGUGAUGAUCUAUUGUCAAUGUUAGUUGCUGGUCAUGAAACAACAGGUUCUGUACUGACAUGGACCAUUUAUCUUCUCAGUAAGGGUCCAGUAGCACUAAGGAAAGCCCAAGAUGAGGUAGAUCGUGUUCUACAAGGUAGACUCCCCAGAUAUGAAGAUGUAAAAGAGCUGAAGUACUUGAUGCGCUGUAUCAAUGAGUCCAUGCGGCUAUACCCACAUCCUCCUGUGCUGAUACGGCGUGCACUAGUUGAUGAUGUGCUUCCUGGAAACUACAAGGUUAAGACUGGUCAAGAUGUUAUGAUUUCUGUGUACAAUAUACACAGAUCACCCGAGGUAUGGGACAGAGCAGAUGAAUUCAUUCCAGAGAGAUUUGAUUUGGAGGGUCCCAUUCCAAAUGAGUCAAACACUGAUUUCAGGUUUAUCCCUUUUAGUGGAGGUCCUCGAAAAUGUGUUGGAGAUCAGUUUGCUCUUUUAGAAGCAAUUGUGGCACUUGCAAUUGUCAUACAAAAGAUGGACAUUCAGCUUGUGGCAGAUCAAAAAAUCAGCAUGACCACUGGGGCCACUAUCCAUACAACCAAUGGACUGUAUAUGAAUGUAAGUCUGCGUAAAGUUGAGCAAGAAGCUGACUUAGCACUGAGUCCAUCGGGCUAG